Non-coding RNA from Saimiri boliviensis boliviensis (Bolivian squirrel monkey), 363 nucleotides. The record is from RefSeq and is a predicted model, not a curated record. NCBI's taxonomy places the organism in Eukaryota, Metazoa, Chordata, Mammalia, Primates, Cebidae.
AUGGACUGGACCUGGAGGAUCUUCUGCUUGCUGGCAGUAGCUGCAGGUGCCCACUCCCAGGUGCAGCUGGUGCAGUCUGGGCCUGAGGUGAAGAAGCCUGGGGCUUCAGUGAAGGUCUCCUGCAAAGCUUCUGGAUAUACCUUCACCAGCUAUGCUAUCAGCUGGGUGCGACAGGCCCCUGGACAAAGGCUGGAGUGGAUGGGAUGGAUCAUUCCUUAAAAUGGUAACACAAACUACUCACAGAAGUUCCAGGGCAGAGUCACCAUGACCAGGGACACAUCCACGAGCACAGCCUACAUGGAGCUGAGCAGCCUGAGAUCUGAAGACAUGGCCGUGUAUUACUAUGUGAGAGACACAGUGUGA